Molecule: unclassified non-coding RNA, 628 nt
Filed under: Hevea brasiliensis (rubber tree)
Lineage: Eukaryota; Viridiplantae; Streptophyta; Magnoliopsida; Malpighiales; Euphorbiaceae
Source: RNAcentral
GGAAAUAUGAACUCGAUAGCAAGGCAUUUGUCUUCCAUCUUUGGAAGUCAGGGCAUCAACUCGCUGAGUCGGGAGCUCCAGGCUUAUCAGAUUCAACAAUGGCGGGGGAUCCGGGGGAAGGUAUUUAAUGGAAACUUGGAGCAUGCUUUGACCGUGAUGCAGAGGAAGAUGCAAUCGAGCGGGAUCGAACGGUUGAUAAAGCGCGAGCAGCUUCACCACAUCAAGAAUUCUGAGAAGCGCGUUUUGGCACGCAAAAAUCUCCAGCGCAAGAUUAAAUCCCAGGAAUAUUGUCGUAAGCUUAAAGCCCUGCUCAUGAAGAAAGUCAGGGGUCUAUGAGAGCAGCUUUGGAGUAUCUUUCUUGGCCUGAAGGAAAUAUACAAGGUGCUUAAUUUGCAAUUGUUCUUUUGAUUCUUGCAGAGUUCAGGGGUUUCUUGCAAUUUUCAGCGUAUGUUCAUUUGGUAGCUUACAUGGCUUUGUAAUCAAUAUGCAGUUUAGUUUGCUUUCGGUGAAUUUUUGAUGAAUUUCAUGCCUUUUGAGACUCCAUUCAUUACAUGCAAUGGUAUGUGAAUUUUUACCGAGGCCUGCAACAUAAAGUGAGAAACAGAGAUCACUUACCAUACUGACCAGG